UAAACUAUAAUUUAAGGGAUCAUUUCUAUAGUUGUUUACUAGAGAAGUUUCUCUGAUAGUGUAGUGUAGCAGAAGCUACAACGAGUAACUGUGUUCUUUCCUGCAAGUAAAGCUGGCCCUGGGUGUUGUUUGGAACAACUGCCCAUUGCCAUUAAUGAUCAUUCUUCUCUCCCCUUGGGAGAGUUGGAGGAAGAGAACACAGUCUGAGCGGA
Molecule: small nucleolar RNA, 212 nt
Organism: Jaculus jaculus (lesser Egyptian jerboa)
Lineage: Eukaryota; Metazoa; Chordata; Mammalia; Rodentia; Dipodidae
Gene: U3
Rfam family: Small nucleolar RNA U3
About the family: Small nucleolar RNAs (snoRNAs) are involved in the processing and modification of rRNA in the nucleolus.
Source: Ensembl